AGUAUUGGAGGCACUGCCUGCCCAGUGACAUUCGUUAAACGGCCGCGGUAUCCUGACCGUGCAAAGGUAGCAUAAUCACUUGUUCCCUAAAUAGGGACUCGUAUGAAUGGCCACACGAGGGUUUUACUGUCUCUUACUUCCAAUCCGUGAAAUUGACCUUCCCGUGAAGAGGCGGGAAUAUAAUAAUAAGACGAGAAGACCCUAUGGAGCUUCAAUUAACUGAUCCAAAGAGAUUAAUAUAUACCGACAGGAAUAACAAUCCUCCAUAAUGGAUCAACAAUUUAGGUUGGGGUGACCUCGGAGUACAAAAUAACCUCCGAAUGAUUUCUAAUCAAGACUAACCAGUCAAAAGUACUACAUCAUCAAUUGAUCCAAAAUUAUUUGAUCAACGGAACAAGUUACCCUAGGGAUAACAGCGCAAUCCUAUUUUAGAGUCCAUAUCGACAAUAGGGUUUACGACCUCGAUGUUGGAUCAGGACAUCCCGAUGGUGCAGCAGCUAUCAAAGGUUCGUUUGUUCAACGAUUAAAGUCCUACGUGAUCUGAUUUCAGACCGGA
This 556-nucleotide ribosomal RNA is filed under the name Paradoxurus hermaphroditus (Asian palm civet). RNAcentral describes it as "partial large subunit ribosomal RNA". It matches the Rfam family "Bacterial large subunit ribosomal RNA", at positions 1842 to 2620 of the family's 2925-position model. Lineage: Eukaryota; Metazoa; Chordata; Mammalia; Carnivora; Viverridae. The record is from RNAcentral.